ACGAACGCUGGCGGCGUGCUUAACCCAUGCCAGUCGAACGGAAAGGCCCUGCUUUUGUGGGGUGCUCGAGUGGCGAACGGGUGAGUAACACGUGAGUAACCUGCCCUUGACUUUGGGAUAACUUCAGGAAACUGGGGCUAAUACCGGAUAGGAGCUCCUGCUGCCUGGUGGGGGUUGGAAAGUUUCGGCGGUUGGGGAUGGACUCGCGGCUUAUCAGCUUGUUGGUGGGGUAGUGGCUUACCAAGGCUUUGACGGGUAGCCGGCCUGAGAGGGUGACCGGCCACAUUGGGACUGAGAUACGGCCCAGACUCCUACGGGAGGCAGCAGUGGGGAAUAUUGCACAAUGGGCGGAAGCCUGAUGCAGCAACGCCGCGUGCGGGAUGACGGCCUUCGGGUUGUAAACCGCUUUCGCCUGUGACGAAGCGUGAGUGACGGUAAUGGGUAAAGAAGCACCGGCUAACUACGUG
Molecule: ribosomal RNA, 467 nt
Filed under: uncultured bacterium
Lineage: Bacteria
Description: partial 16S ribosomal RNA
Rfam family: Bacterial small subunit ribosomal RNA
Source: RNAcentral